This 596-nucleotide ribosomal RNA is filed under the name uncultured bacterium. RNAcentral describes it as "bacterial SSU rRNA". It matches the Rfam family "Bacterial small subunit ribosomal RNA", at positions 8 to 566 of the family's 1533-position model. The record is from RNAcentral.
AGGGUUUGAUCCUGGCUCAGAGCGAACGUUAGCGGGAGGCUUAACACAUACAAGUCGAGCGAGAACGUCACUUCGGUGGCUAGUACAGCGGCGGACGGGUGAGUAACACGUGGAUAAUCUGCCCUUUGGCGGGGGACAACAGCUCGAAAGGGUUGCUAAUACCGCAUACGUCUCUAGAGACCUCGGUCUUUAGAGGGAAAGAUGGCCUCUUCUUGAAAGCUAUCACCAAAGGAUGAGUCCGCGUAGCAUCAGCUUGUUGGUGGGGUAAUGGCCUACCAAGGCUUAGACGCUUAGCUGGUCUGAGAGGAUGAUCAGCCGCACUGGGACUGAGAUACGGCCCAGACUCCUACGGGAGGCAGCAGUGGGGAAUAUUGGACAAUGGGCGCAAGCCUGAUCCAGCCAUCCCGCGUUGAGUUGAUGAAGGCUUUCGGGUCGUAAAGCUCUGUGGGGAGAGACNAAACGUCAACNAGAACAAUAACCUGUUUGAUCUGACGGUUAUCUCUUUAGCAAGCACCGGCUAACUCCGUGCCAGCCAGCCUGCGUGUAAUACGUGUGGGGUGCAAACGUUGCCUCGGAAAUCUUUGGGGCGUUAAAGC